UCUUAGGUUCUUACAAGCCUCUCCAUAACAAACAAUGGCUAGCAACAGCAAGGCUCUGAUCACAGUACUUUUCUUUCUCUUCUUGCUUUCAACUCAAUCCAUCCUACCUUCAACAGCGACAAAGAUUCUGGGGACAAGUCAAAAUGGGAGUGGUGACACAACAUCUGCGGCAGAAAAAGUGCAACCUGCCGAUGAUGACCCCGGUUAUACCGAAGAGGAUCACGGGGAGUAUGGUCGCUGAAUGGAGGAUGAUUCAUACUUCCGUCUUCCAAAGCUAGUUGAUUUUAAUGUAUGAAUAAAUUAAAAUCGCUUGUGCUACAAUUGUAAUAUAACGUUACUUUUAAUGUGCUAAAGACCUCUAAUUUUGAUCUUGA
Coffea eugenioides is the source of this 374-nucleotide long non-coding RNA. RefSeq lists it as uncharacterized. The transcript is spliced from 2 exons. The record is from RefSeq and is a predicted model, not a curated record. Lineage: Eukaryota; Viridiplantae; Streptophyta; Magnoliopsida; Gentianales; Rubiaceae.